Molecule: non-coding RNA, 465 nt
Organism: Cricetulus griseus (Chinese hamster)
Lineage: Eukaryota; Metazoa; Chordata; Mammalia; Rodentia; Cricetidae
Source: RefSeq, a predicted model, not a curated record
GUGGACCCUGGGCCACCAAAAGGUAGCACAAGUAAGGCACCUGGGCCUGGGAGCUAUGGCGCAGCCUCGGACUUUCUUAAACGCCAAAGGGACUGGGAACCAAGGCCCCUCCCUGGGCUGCGCCCGAAAACCGGCAGGGAAGAGGGACCGUCAGGAACACAGAAUUCCUCUGGAGGUGCCAGCAGAGAUCAGCACGGACAACUGGCAAAUUGUGACAAGUUUGGCCCUCUAGUCCUCUCUUGCUUUAAGAGGAAGAGCCCUGCUGAAGGAAGUACACCACUGGGCUUUCAGGGUUUAUAGCCUUGCCCCACUUCUGUUCGGAUUUCUGUGCGAAUGAAAAUGUGAUCAGCUAACUUCCCACUCCUGUUCACUAUGCUUGUCCUAACCAUUGUCAUUCCUUCCCUGCCAUAAUGGACUCUAAUCCCCCUGGAACUAUGAGCCAAAAUAAACCCUUUCUUCCCUAAA